Long non-coding RNA from Oncorhynchus tshawytscha (Chinook salmon), 2360 nucleotides. Lineage: Eukaryota; Metazoa; Chordata; Actinopteri; Salmoniformes; Salmonidae. The record is from Ensembl.
CACACACAUACAUUCACAGACACACAUACACAUGAUAAGACACACACUACACACACGUAGAGGCACACAUACACAUGAUAAGACACACUCUACACACACAUACACAUGAAGUGAUCCUUAGUAAAUACAAAUACAGGGCGAGGAGAUUCUUCUGACUAUGCGAUCUAACUAGGAAUAACACCUUGCUUUCACAUCUGAAUCCCCAAGUUCCUUUGAGUUCGGCCUUGGGUCCUUUAGCUUGUUGGAGGAGAUCCUCACAGGGCAGGAGUGGGCCAGGUUUCUAAAUCCAUCACAAGUAGACACCUUAGCCAAUCAAACACCAGCUGAAGAGGUCACCAAUCAAUUAGAGGCCAGCCAGAGACGGCCACAAGAUCAUGAGAGCGGCCGAUCAACUAUGACCUUGGACAGAGUCAGACAAUCAGGAAAUGUGAACAGUCAGUGGGACUUCAGACAAAGUGAAUUGGACCUAAGUUAUGAUAGAAGCGCUGAUGUUUCUUCAUCUGUCAAUAUGAAUAUCACAGAACCAAGCCUUGUCCAAGAACAGAACAGUAAAUGUGAACUCAUCCAAUCGGCACCAAAGGAAUAUGGUCAUGUCCAAUCACAAACCAGUUCUGAUGAAGUGAGGCCAAAUCAUAUACCUGUGUUAGAGUUCUCGUUCAUUAAGCCAGUGGAGGUCUUGGAUAGCUCUGCCCUGAAGAGCAGGGUCCACAUGAACAGAAAAAGAGAGCACCGGUCACAGGAGAGGAAAGAAGAGAGAGAAUGUUUAAAAGGAGAGGGGGGAGAGAGAUUAGAAGACAACUCAGUCCCAUCUGAUGAGGAAGAGAGGGAAGAGGGGGACAACUUUAUGAUGCCUGUCUACCCCCUGAAAUCCUCCCUUUCCCCUCUCCCUCCAUCCUCCCCCUCUUCCACCUCACAUCCCCUUGUCACCCGAAGUAUACUGCAACACUCAGUGUUUCAAGAUUCAGAGUCCUCACUAUCAAUGGAAACAGUGACCAAAAAGAGGCGGAUGUCAAAAUCUCGUCACGUGCGGUUCUCUGAGGAGGUAGUUACCAUGCCGCCCAGCCUCCUGAUCCAGCAGUAUCCUGAUUCAGAGGAGGAUUGUGGAACAGAGGAGGACUCCACGCUAGAGGAGAAUGCAGUGAUGGAGGAAGUUCAAGUUGUGCCGAUGAUGCUACAGCCCGCUGCUGCUCUCCCCGCCUGGAUAUUAGCUCUGAGGAGGAAGACAAGGAAGAAACACAGGCACUGAACAAUAACAGGCUCAUCCUUGUCUACCCUUAUUUAACCAAGCAAUUACCUUGAGAAUCUCCUUUGCAAGAGAGACUUGGCAAGAUAGUAAAAAUACUUUGUAAUUACUUUUGCAUCUUUUUUUUCAUUCAACUCAAAUGUUUGAUACUGAGUUAUUAGUGCUUUCCAUGGGGAAGGGAAGAGGAAAGGAAACGAGAUUACUUCGAUCAUUCUACAAGCCAACACACAAAAACAAACUCAUGUCAUUACAUGAUCGCUAUGUUUACGUGUGAAAGUGUUCUAAGUCCAUUAGCAUGGAAUGUCAGGAGACAAUAGUUAUAACGGACCGUUUCUCUCUCUCUCUCCCUCGCUCCUCAUCAGUCCUUAUUAAUUAACAGUGGUGUAAGGCCAUUAAGAAGCUCUUUUGCUGAUCUAUUAGUGUUGUGAUGGGUCCUUGGUGAGAGGAGGAGUGCCCAGGUUGUGUGUGUGUGUAUGUGUCCGUGCAUAUUGGGUGUGUAAUGCAGAAAAACACAAUACAGCAGGCACGACUCAGUCAAGUCCGAUAAUUGUAUAAUUGCUGGUUACCUUUGCUUUCCACCAGGUUCCAAGAUCAAUAUAGGACCACGGCAUCUUUUCUCAUACCCCCCCAUUGUUAUAGUACAUCACAAAUGGAGCAAGACAGAGAUGGAGAAAGGGAUGAGGCCAGAUAACUGUAACAUAUGAACUACAGAGUAUGUACAAAGGUAAUGGGACCAGGGCAAAGCUUUUAUGUGGCGGCAGACUGUGGAACAGCUACAAUAUUGAGAGUAACAGUUUAUAAAGUUAUUUGUUUGUUUUUACUAAAGUGUUCAUCCCACUGUACAGAGAUAGUUUGCCCCCAAAGAUCGGAACACAUUUUAAAAACACAUUUUAAAAGUUAUUCAGAGAUUCAAUUGUUACGUCAUUCAGGGCAAGUGGGGCGGAGCCCCAUCUGUUUUGAGCCUCACAUUUUUAGCAAUAAAUAAUUAAACAUGUAUAUUUGUUUUAAAUUGGGGGGGCUUGCCAUUUUGCAUGUUAUUUUGGCAUUAAUAUGUGUCACAUAUUAGUUUGCAAACUAUGUAAAAAAAAUAUAUAUAAAUAUCAUUGCGUUAAUAAAG